CGCUUCUUUUUCCACCGGAGCUUGCUCCACCGGAAAAAGAGGAGUGGCGAACGGGUGAGUAACACGUGGGUAACCUGCCCAUCAGAAGGGGAUAACACUUGGAAACAGGUGCUAAUACCGUAUAACAAUCGAAACCGCAUGGUUUUGAUUUGAAAGGCGCUUUCGGGUGUCGCUGAUGGAUGGACCCGCGGUGCAUUAGCUAGUUGGUGAGGUAACGGCUCACCAAGGCGACGAUGCAUAGCCGACCUGAGAGGGUGAUCGGCCACAUUGGGACUGAGACACGGCCCAAACUCCUACGGGAGGCAGCAGUAGGGAAUCUUCGGCAAUGGACGAAAGUCUGACCGAGCAACGCCGCGUGAGUGAAGAAGGUUUUCGGAUCGUAAAACUCUGUUGUUAGAGAAGAACAAGGAUGAGAGUAACUGUUCAUCCCUUGACGGUAUCUAACCAGAAAGCCACGGCUAACUACGUGCCAGCAGCCGCGGUAAUACGUAGGUGGCAAGCGUUGUCCGGAUUUAUUGGGCGUAAAGCGAGCGCAGGCGGUUUCUUAAGUCUGAUGUGAAAGCCCCCGGCUCAACCGGGGAGGGUCAUUGGAAACUGGGAGACUUGAGUGCAGAAGAGGAGAGUGGAAUUCCAUGUGUAGCGGUGAAAUGCGUAGAUAUAUGGAGGAACACCAGUGGCGAA
This 681-nucleotide ribosomal RNA is filed under the name uncultured bacterium. Its description in RNAcentral is "bacterial SSU rRNA". It matches the Rfam family "Bacterial small subunit ribosomal RNA", at positions 67 to 719 of the family's 1533-position model. The record is from RNAcentral.